This is a long non-coding RNA of Amborella trichopoda, 1096 nucleotides long. RefSeq lists it as uncharacterized. The record is from RefSeq and is a predicted model, not a curated record. Lineage: Eukaryota; Viridiplantae; Streptophyta; Magnoliopsida; Amborellales; Amborellaceae.
GAUGAACUUUAAUGGUUGUGAUCCCCCUUGUGUUGAUCUCAAACUCAAUCUAUGCAAAUAGCUUGGCGAACUAUAAAGCUCUAUCUCUCUAACGUCGUGGGACAGCGGGGCCUCUCUCUCAAACAAAAACCCAAAUCUCUCUCUAGCGUCAUAUGGGGCAGCGGGGCCCCUCUCUCUUAAAAAAACCCAAAUCUCUCGCUCUUCUGCUGCCCUCUCUGUCUCUCUCUCUCAUCUCAGUUUCAAGCCUACCCUCUCUCUCUCUCACGCGUUUGUGCUCUCUACAGCCUGGUCUUACACUCUCUCCCUAAGCAUAGAAGACGAAGCAAGACGAGGAGAAAAAGUUGGCAUACAGACGCCUCCGUAGGUGUAGAGUGCGCAAUAUACUUUUAAUUCCAGCUGAAGUGUGCAUUCAAAUGUUAGAAAUUGCAACACCAUCAAUGUUGGUAGAACCAAAAAUUUCUAUACCAGUUUGUGGUUCUCAGAAGAUGCAUAUUCAGGAGCAGUGGAUCUUCCUGGGUUCCAUGUUUAUGUUGGAAGCGGGGGCGAGAGAUUACUUCCUGAAUGGUACAGGAAAGGUUGUCACUUCUUGAUUUGCUUUUAGCUUUCCAUUUUGUUGAUGUUAAAUUUGAAUUGAGAGUCUUAUAGAACCCCAUGACUGUAACAAACAAUUAUGUGAGUUACUGAACUCCGUGGAUGCCCUAAUAUUUUAUUUCCAAUGGGCUCCUGCGGGCAUAAAACUCAUUCUUGGUACUGAGGUAACCAAAGUAAAUACAGCCAAGAAAACUCCUACAACAACAGCUCAAGUUGUCUUCAAAUAUGAGACUUGGAAAAGAGGUAGGUGCAAAUAAGAAUGGAAAAGCUGUGGUUGUUGGUGGAGUAUACAUCGGUCUUGAGCUAGGAGUUGUGCUGGAUGUGUGCAACAUUUAAUGUUGUUCUUAUGUGUAGCCAAUGGCUGCUUAUUUGUACUUGGUUUUUUUAACUUUUGUACUCCUUAUGAGGAGCAUUUGAUAGUCCUACAAGAAGGAAUACAAGUUCAUGUAAUGGCUUGGGUGUAUUUUUAUUCAUUAAAUAGAAUUAAGCUAAACUUUGAUGAUUA